Molecule: long non-coding RNA, 1789 nt
Organism: Prinia subflava (tawny-flanked prinia)
Lineage: Eukaryota; Metazoa; Chordata; Aves; Passeriformes; Cisticolidae
Exons: 3
Source: RefSeq, a predicted model, not a curated record
GAAAGCUUUCCAGGACCUGUGAGAUAGAAUCUGUACUUCAGAAAAAUCAUCAGAAUGGUCGGAUGGUUGGAGCAUUGAAACUCAGUAAGCUCCAAAUCAGGAAAAACCAAAUAUUUGAGGACAUCUUUCAUGUCUAUGUUAUCAAGCACUUGCCACAUUAUGAGCUUCAACUUGAUGUACACCACAAGAAAAGAUCUCUUAACAUGCUAACCUUCAUCAUUCUUACUUGGUAACAUCCACAUCUAAUAUAACGUGAGACUUCAGCUUUAUGAGUAAUAUAUUUGUGCUGUAAAAGUUGAAGAGUACCAGAGGAAGAAGAGGAUGUGACUGAGUGAGUGAGGGGAAAAGAAGGCACUCAGAAACUCAUGUAAGGAAAUGUGUGGAGCCAACCUGAGUGUAGGUAUAGAGGGCUGUGCCAGGGAGUGGGUGAGUCUUCCUGGGUAUGCUGAAGGGGCAAUAAAUUUUUAUUAAGGGCAGAGAGAGACACAGUGGAAUGCAUGUACUUAAAUAUGUAAAAUACAGUACUUAAAUAUGUAAAAAAAAUUGAUGUUGGGAGAAAUCAUACAGAAUAUAUACUGAGUCACCUUGCUUUUAAAAAUUUCUGUGUUUCCCAGUUUUCUUCCAGCUUUUCCUUUCUGCUUUUCCUUUCUUCCCUUUAUGCCUGCCUAUUCCUACAGUGAUAAGGUUAUCCUGGCAGUAAGGAAGUUGUGUGAGCCAUAACCAUUGCUAGUAGAAGGACAGUUAUGACUGUUCUGCUGUGUGGAAAGGUUGAUCUGCUCAAAAAUUGCUUCGACUUUUAUUGUAGUUAAUCCAACAGACAGCAGUAACAACAACAAAAAACCCACAAAAACCCCCUCUAACCAAAAGCCAAGAGGCUGCUAAUUGAUUUUUAUUUCUAGUAUUUCAUUUGCAUUUUGUUUACAUUUCACUUAUUUUAGUGCUUCCAUUGCUCUUCAGUCUCAAACAGCUUCACUGAAUAGCCUGUAAAAGAUGUACAAGUUUCUUUCCUUCACAAAGGUUUAAGUCUUCAAACAUAUUCAGCAACUCUCUUGAAAUAUAAUAUUAUAUCUCAGUUAUUCCACUGUAGGAAAACAUACAGGAUGGUAUAGCAUCAUCUAUGAAAACGCCUUUCCUGGGAUGGAUCAUCAGAGUUAAUGGUCUCCAUUGCCCUUUAGGAGAUCUUCCAAGACAUUUAAUGGAUGCUGUAAAGAUGUUGCAGAGCAUGGGGGGUUGAAUUCUGGACAGAAACAGGCAGAAGUGAUCAGAUGGUUAUUUUCUUUCUCCUGUGCCUCAUUGUGGUCAGUUGUAUACCUUAGUAUGUGUCUGUUGUGUUGUUUCUUCCCACUAAGAAUUUUGGCCAAGCUAAUUAUUGACUGUGUGUGCAGUCCAGAGAUGGGAAGUAGGAUCUGCUCUCUGCCUUCAUCUCCUAUUGUAUAUCUUGGUGACUUUUUAUAAUUCGGUGACAAUGCUGUACUUACUCUUUAUUGGUGCUGGAUAAAAUAUUUAUUGAUAGUAUGUGCUAAUUAUAUUUGUGCUAGUAUGUGGAGUAGUAUUUUCAGUAUGUGUAUUUAAGGGAGUAGAAGGCUCCUAAGUACAAGAUUAAAUGGAUGUAGAAAUACUGUGGAUUUUGUGUCUUGUCACACAUAAAAGCCUUCCAUAUUUGGUGAUGGUUUUCCCCUCCUCACCUCCUACUAAAAAUGAAGCCAGUCCUGUAUUUUUCUGUAUUUUUCGAUGUCAUAAUUGAAAACCUGCAGGAUUAGGCCCACAGUGGUUUUCCCACAUUUUGCAC